AUGGCAUCCAAAACAGCGCUCAUGGCUGUGGCUCUGCUCGUCCUUGUGGCCGGCGACCUCGCCCAUGGCCACGCCGUGCCGCUCGGACGAGCAACCGCCCGUCGGAGCCUCGGCUGGAUGCAAGGCAUGAAGGGAGGGCCGCCCAGUGGCAUGCAGCCAUCAGAGGCUGCUGCUUCUGCUGCUGCCCGCCGCCGCGCCAUUUCUUGGGUGCAAAAAGGCGAGGAAAGCAGCCGGGCCGGUGGCGGGGAGGAAGGCAAGUUCAUCGCGCCUGUGCCGGGAUUCAAGCUCCCGCCCCUUCCUCCCAACGCUGCCUGA
RNAcentral lists this ribosomal RNA (315 nucleotides) under Triticum aestivum (bread wheat). RNAcentral's name for it is "partial small subunit ribosomal RNA". Lineage: Eukaryota; Viridiplantae; Streptophyta; Magnoliopsida; Poales; Poaceae. The record is from RNAcentral.